Molecule: ribosomal RNA, 587 nt
Filed under: uncultured bacterium
Lineage: Bacteria
Description: bacterial SSU rRNA
Rfam family: Bacterial small subunit ribosomal RNA
Source: RNAcentral
GAGUUUGAUCCUGGCUCAGGACGAACGCUGGCGGCGCGCCUAACACAUGCAAGUCGAACGGGGAUCAUGUAGAAGCUUGCUUAGACAUGAACUUAGUGGCGGACGGGUGAGUAACGCGUGAGGACUUGUCAGUUACAGGGGGACAACGGAUGGAAACGUCAGCUAAUACCCCAUAAGCCGAGAGGUAAAAGGAGCGAUCCGGUAACAGAGAGACUCGCGUUCCAUCAGCUAGUUGGAGGGGUAAAGGCCCUCCAAGGCGAAGACGGAUAGCCGGACUGAGAGGUUGGCCGGCCACAUUGGAACUGAGAAACGGUCCAGACUCCUACGGGAGGCAGCAGUGGGGAAUAUUGGGCAAUGGGGGCAACCCUGACCCAGCGACGCCGCGUGGGUGAAGAAAUCCUUCGGGAUGUAAAGCCCUGUUUUGCGGGAAGAAGAAAGUGACGGUACCGCAAGAGAAAGCCACGGCAAACUACGUGCCAGCAGCCGCGGUAAUACGUAGGUGGCGAGCGUUGUCCGGAAUUACUGGGCGUGAAGCGCACGCAGGCUGAUAAUCAAGUCGACUGUAAAAGGCAGAGGCUCAACCUUUG